GGAGGGUGUAGCUCAGUGGUAGGGUGUGUGCUUAGCAUGCACAAGGUCCUGGGUUCAAUCCCCAGUACCUCCA
Molecule: transfer RNA, 73 nt
Filed under: Vicugna pacos (alpaca)
Lineage: Eukaryota; Metazoa; Chordata; Mammalia; Artiodactyla; Camelidae
Description: tRNA-Ala (AGC) (tRNA-Ala-AGC-498-1)
Rfam family: tRNA
About the family: Transfer RNA (tRNA) molecules are approximately 80 nucleotides in length. Their secondary structure includes four short double-helical elements and three loops (D, anti-codon, and T loops).
Source: RNAcentral